CCUACGUGAGGCAGCAGUGGGGAAUAUUGGACAAUGGGGGGAACCCUGAUCCAGCGACGCCGCGUGAGUGAAGAAGUAUUUCGGUAUGUAAAGCUCUAUCAGCAGGGAAGAAAGAAAUGACGGUACCUGACUAAGAAGCCACGGCUAACUACGUGCCAGCAGCCGCGGUAAUACGUAGGGGGCAAGCGUUAUCCGGAUUUACUGGGUGUAAAGGGAGCGUAGACGGCGAUGCAAGUCUGAAGUGAAAGGCGGGGGCCCAACCCCUGGACUGCUUUGGAAACUGGAUGGCUGGAGUGCAGGAGAGGUAAGUGGAAUUCCUAGUGUAGCGGUGAAAUGCGUAGAUAUUAGGAGGAACACCAGUGGCGAAGGCGGCUUACUGGACUGUAACUGACGUUGAGGCUCGAAAGCGUGGGGAGCAAACAGGAUUAGAUACCCCAGUAGUC
This 443-nucleotide ribosomal RNA is filed under the name uncultured bacterium. RNAcentral's name for it is "partial 16S ribosomal RNA". It matches the Rfam family "Bacterial small subunit ribosomal RNA", at positions 338 to 795 of the family's 1533-position model. The record is from RNAcentral.